CCAGACUCCUACGGGAGGCAGCAGUGGGGAAUAUUGCACAAUGGGGGAAACCCUGAUGCAGCGACGCCGCGUGAGUGAAGAAGUAAUUCGUUACGUAAAGCUCUAUCAGCAGGGAAGAGAGUGACGGUACCUGAGUAAGAAGCCCCGGCUAACUACGUGCCAGCAGCCGCGGUAAUACGUAGGGGGCAAGCGUUAUCCGGAUUUACUGGGUGUAAAGGGAGCGUAGACGGUUACGCAAGUCUGAAGUGAAAGGCGGGGGCCCAACCCCCGGACUGCUUUGGAAACUGUGAAACUGGAGUGCAGGAGAGGUAAGUGGAAUUCCUAGUGUAGCGGUGAAAUGCGUAGAUAUUAGGAGGAACACCAGUGGCGAAGGCGGCUUACUGGACUGUAACUGACGUUGAGGCUCGAAAGCGUGGGGAGCAAACAGGAUUAGAUACCCCAGUAG
Molecule: ribosomal RNA, 445 nt
Filed under: uncultured bacterium
Lineage: Bacteria
Description: bacterial SSU rRNA
Rfam family: Bacterial small subunit ribosomal RNA
Source: RNAcentral